UGAAGUCGGAAUCGCUAGUAAUCGUGGAUCAGAAUGCCACGGUGAAUACGUUCCCGGGCCUUGUACACACCGCCCGUCACACCAUGGGAGUGGGUUGCAAAAGAAGUAGGUAGCUUAACCUUCGGGAAGGCGCUUACCACUUUGUGAUUCAUGACUGGGGUGAAGUCGUAACAAGGUAACCGUAGGGGAACCUGCGGUUGGAUCACCUCCUUA
RNAcentral lists this ribosomal RNA (213 nucleotides) under Escherichia coli. RNAcentral's name for it is "partial 16S ribosomal RNA". It matches the Rfam family "Bacterial small subunit ribosomal RNA", at positions 1321 to 1533 of the family's 1533-position model. Lineage: Bacteria; Pseudomonadati; Pseudomonadota; Gammaproteobacteria; Enterobacterales; Enterobacteriaceae. The record is from RNAcentral.